This 254-nucleotide ribosomal RNA is filed under the name uncultured bacterium. RNAcentral describes it as "partial 16S ribosomal RNA". It matches the Rfam family "Bacterial small subunit ribosomal RNA", at positions 524 to 777 of the family's 1533-position model. The record is from RNAcentral.
UACGAAGGGUGCAAGCGUUACUCGGAAUUACUGGGCGUAAAGCGUGCGUAGGUGGUUUGUUAAGUCUGUUGUGAAAGCCCCGGGCUCAACCUGGGAAUGGCAAUGGAUACUGGCAGGCUAGAGUGCGGUAGAGGGUAGUGGAAUUCCCGGUAUAGCGGUGAAAUGCGUAGAGAUCGGGAGGAACACCAGUGGCGAAGGCGGCUACCUGGACCAGCACUGACACUGAGGCACGAAAGCGUGGGGAGCAAACAGGG